GCACAACGCGAAGAACCUUACCAGGGCUUGACAUGUAUUGUAACCCCGGUGAAAGCCGGGCAGCGUAGAAAUACGCGCUUUACACAGGUGCUGCAUGGCUGUCGUCAGCUCGUGUCGUGAGAUGUUGGGUUAAGUCCCGCAACGAGCGCAACCCUUAUGGUUUGUUGCCACUGGCUUCUGCCAAGCACUCAAAUCAGACUGCCCAGAUUAACUGGGAGGAAGGUGGGGAUGACGUCAAGUCCGUAUGGCCCUUACGUCCUGGGCUGCACACGUACUACAAUGCCCAGUACAGAGUGAACCGAGGCCGCGAGGCGAAGGAAAUCACCAAAACUGGGCUCAGUUCAGAUUGCAGGCUGCAACUCGCCUGCAUGAAGUCGGAAUCGCUAGUAAUGGCGCAUCAGCAACGGCGCCGUGAAUACGUUCCCGGGUCUUGUACACACCG
Molecule: ribosomal RNA, 442 nt
Filed under: uncultured bacterium
Lineage: Bacteria
Description: bacterial SSU rRNA
Rfam family: Bacterial small subunit ribosomal RNA
Source: RNAcentral